Molecule: ribosomal RNA, 501 nt
Filed under: uncultured bacterium
Lineage: Bacteria
Description: partial 16S ribosomal RNA
Rfam family: Bacterial small subunit ribosomal RNA
Source: RNAcentral
AUUGAACGCUGGCGGCAGGCUUAACACAUGCAAGUCGAGCGGAGAUGAGGUGCUUGCACCUUAUCUUAGCGGCGGACGGGUGAGUAAUGCUUAGGGAUCUGCCUAUUAGUGGGGGACAACAUUCCGAAAGGAAUGCUAAUACCGCAUACGCCCUACGGGGGAAAGCAGGGGAUCUUCGGACCUUGCGCUAAUAGAUGAGCCUAAGUCGGAUUAGCUAGUUGGUGGGGUAAAGGCCUACCAAGGCGGCGAUCUGUAGCGGGUCUGAGAGGAUGAUCCGCCACACUGGGACUGAGACACGGCCCAGACUCCGACGGGAGGCAGCAGUGGGGAAUAUUGGACAAUGGGCGGAAGCCUGAUCCAGCCAUGCCGCGUGUGUGAAGAAGGCCUUUUGGUUGUAAAGCACUUUAAGCGAGGAGGAGGCUACUUGGAUUAAUACUCUAGGAUAGUGGACGUUACUCGCAGAAUAAGCACCGGCUAACUCUGUGCCAGCAGCCGCCGUAA